RNAcentral lists this unclassified non-coding RNA (324 nucleotides) under Hevea brasiliensis (rubber tree). Lineage: Eukaryota; Viridiplantae; Streptophyta; Magnoliopsida; Malpighiales; Euphorbiaceae. The record is from RNAcentral.
GCCCUUGGCACCCUUGCUGCUCUUGCCACCUCCCUUCGAGCUUGAUGUCUUACUGUUUGCAACUGGUGGAUUGGCCGAGUCAACAUCCUGCAGCCCAGACUCCAGUGCUCGAACAAGGUUCUCAAAGUAAGUCCUUGUCACACUGGUUAACCCGGCUAACUUUGUGCGAAAAUCAUUAAACUCUUUCAUAGGUUCGGUUGCAUCCAGGAAACCCUGGAGUUCCUUCUCUGCACAUUGAUGAAGCCGUUCUAAACCGGACUCUGCUUCACCUUGCAGAUACUCAAAAAAUUGUCUUUUAGUGCUUUCAUGCUCAGGCAGGUAAUA